GGGUGCGUAACACGUGGGUAAUUUGCCGUGAAGUUGGGGAUAACUCGCUGAAAGGCGAGCUAAUACCGGAUGUGGUUUCGGAGUGGCAUCAUUCUGCAACUAAAGCUGGGGAUCGUAAGACCUGGCGCUUCAUGAUAAGCCCGCGGCCUAUCAGCUAGUUGGUGAGGUAACGGCUCACCAAGGCUAAGACGGGUAGCUGGUCUGAGAGGACGACCAGCCACACUGGAACUGAGACACGGUCCAGACACCUACGGGUGGCAGCAGUCGAGAAUUUUUCUCAAUGGGCGCAAGCCUGAAGGAGCGACGCCGCGUGGGGGAUGAAGGGUUUCGAUCCGUAAACCCCUGUCAUUUGUGAACAAUGGUUACUAUUUAAAAGAUGGUGACUUGAUAGUAAUGAAAGAGGAAGGGACGGCUAACUCUGUGCCAGCAGCCGCGGUAAUACAGAGGUCCCAAGCGUUGCUCGGAUUCACUGGGCGUAAAGGGUGCGUAGGUGGCUGGGAAAGUUUGAUGUGAAAGCUCAGGGCUCAACCCUGAAAUGGCAUUGAAUACUACUUAGCUGGGAGGUUUGGAGGGGGGACUGGAAUUCUCGGUGUAGCAGUGAAAUGCGUAGAUAUCGAGAGGAACACCAGUGGCGAAGGCGAGUCCCUGGACAACACCUGACACUGAGGCACGAAAGCUAGGGGAGCAAACAGGAUUAGAUACCCUGGUAGUCCUAGCCCUAAACGGUGCGUGUUUGCUGUAGGAGGAAUCGACCCCUUCUGUGGCGAAGCUAACGCGUUAAACACGCCGCCUGGGGAGUACGGUCGCAAGAUUAAAACUCAAAGAAAUUGACGGGGGCCUGCACAAGCGGUGGAGUAUGUGGCUUAAUUCGAUGCAACGCGAAGAA
Molecule: ribosomal RNA, 886 nt
Filed under: uncultured bacterium
Lineage: Bacteria
Description: bacterial SSU rRNA
Rfam family: Bacterial small subunit ribosomal RNA
Source: RNAcentral